UCUAGCAUUGGUAGGUACUCAGGAGGCCCAUACAUUAUUUUCAUCCAUUCUGGAUGUUUCUGCACAUGUAGUAGUUGAAGUUAGUUUGGAAUCAGAUUGUUCCUUGCUAGCUGCACAUGUGAUAUAUCAACAAGUACCUUUGUUGCAGUCUCCCACCACUCCAAGGUUGCAGUAGGCCACCCAUUUUCAUCACGGCCUAAACCACUGUCGGAAUGGAUGUCUUUUAUGAACUGGUACAUUCCCUUGAGCUGCCUAAUCCUAUUAGAUAUCUGUUUCCUAUCAUGCCUCAGCCCUGAACCACAAUAAUAUUUUUCUAUGACAAGCUUGUACCCUCUUGCUGUCAUACUACCUUUAAUGUAGUUACCCAACUCAAUUUGCUCAACAAGUAAUUGACACAACAGGUUGUUAUUCUGCUCUGUUGUCCAACUUCCCCUGUCCAUUUUAUUCUACCAUAUACAUCACAAGAAAAAUAACAUCAGAACUCCAGUACACAUGCAUAAUCUAUCUCUUAAGUAAUACACUAAGGUCGUUGUUAGUCUAGCAACAAAAAUGUAGCUACAAAUCCAUAUCCAUCACUUGUUACCAUCUAAUUUGCAUAUAUCCAACCCCUUAUUGUACCUCUGUACCCCCCCCCAACCUAUUUUUCUGUCUCUGUCACACACACACACACAGCUUAUGCAUAGGCGCUGGCAACCUCCUACUCCAUCAACUUCAAGUGAUGGCUAACAUGCAUCAGAAGCACAAGCAUUUCAUUGUAAUAUAACAACAGUUGACCACCCAUUCACAACUCUGAGAUCA
Molecule: long non-coding RNA, 798 nt
Filed under: Setaria viridis
Lineage: Eukaryota; Viridiplantae; Streptophyta; Magnoliopsida; Poales; Poaceae
Description: long non-coding RNA (SVIR_LNC008091)
Source: RNAcentral